Molecule: long non-coding RNA, 810 nt
Filed under: Lactuca sativa (garden lettuce)
Lineage: Eukaryota; Viridiplantae; Streptophyta; Magnoliopsida; Asterales; Asteraceae
Description: long non-coding RNA (LSAT_LNC005281)
Source: RNAcentral
UGGUGCCAUUUUAUGAUCCUGCAACUGCCGUGUCGAAGGUAGGUGGUGGAGGUGAUAAUGAUAAUGAUAACAACGACCACCAUUUCCUAUUGGAUUUUGAUGUUAACGUCGCCGGAACUGAAGCUGAAGAAGCGGAAGCUGCUUCGUGGCUUAUCCCAGAUCCAAAUAUAAACAAAAUCGUUGAUGGAUCUGAGGAUGAUAAUAAAUCGGAGUACUUGUUUAACGAGAUCGAUCCAUACCUUGAUAUAGAUCUGAAAACGCCGGAUCAAAAGGCUAAUCAGAUCAUUCGCAGAUACAAUUCCCCAACCGAUGGAGUUGUUCCGGUGCAAAACAAGAUCGAAAAUCGCCAUUACCAGAUGCCACCACAUGCACAUGCUUCUUCUCCAGAUGUAGUGGAGGGAUUACCUGCAUAUGACGUCGAUUACACCGGAUCUAAGCCUUUCAUGUACAACUUCACCUCUCAAUCCGUCAGCCAAAGCGUAAGUGCAAUCCAAACCAAAUCCGAAUACUUAUAAUUCAUUAUAACAACUUCAAUUUCAUUAUAUCAACUAAUCAGGAUAUAUUUAAUCAUCAGGUAUCAUCAUCUUCACUGGAAAUCGAAGUAGGCGUCGUACCGGACCACAACGCAAACGCAACCAUGGCGGAUGUAUCAAACAACCACCACCACCCAUCAUUACCGGAAGUAUAUCCGACUCCUGUGUCGGGUUUCGAUCGUGAAGCCAGGGUUUUAAGAUACAAAGAAAAGAGGAAGAACAGGAGGUUUGAGAAAACGAUUCGAUAUGCUUCGAGGAAGGCAUACGCAGAAACAAG